Molecule: ribosomal RNA, 253 nt
Filed under: uncultured bacterium
Lineage: Bacteria
Description: partial 16S ribosomal RNA
Rfam family: Bacterial small subunit ribosomal RNA
Source: RNAcentral
UACGUAGGGUGCGAGCGUUAAUCGGAAUUACUGGGCGUAAAGCGUGCGCAGGCGGUUUGGUAAGACAGAUGUGAAAUCCCCGGGCUCAACCUGGGAAUUGCAUUUGUGACUGCCCGGCUGGAAUCUGGCAGAGGGGGGUAGAAUUCCACGUGUAGCAGUGAAAUGCGUAGAGAUGUGGAGGAAUACCGAUGGCGAAGGCAGCCCCCUGGGCCAAGAUUGACGCUCAUGCACGAAAGCGUGGGGAGCAAACAGG